GUCCACGCCGUAAACGAUGAAUACUAGGUGUGGGGGACUGACCCCCUCCGUGCCGGAGUUAACACAAUAAGUAUUCCACCUGGGGAGUACGGCCGCAAGGUUGAAACUCAAAGGAAUUGACGGGGCCCGCACAAGCAGUGGAUUAUGUGGUUUAAUUCGAAGCAACGCGAAGAACCUUACCAGGGCUUGACAUCCAACUAACGAGGUAGAGAUACGUUAGGUGCCCCUUCGGGGAAAGUUGAGACAGGUGGUGCAUGGUUGUCGU
Molecule: ribosomal RNA, 265 nt
Filed under: uncultured bacterium
Lineage: Bacteria
Description: partial 16S ribosomal RNA
Rfam family: Bacterial small subunit ribosomal RNA
Source: RNAcentral